AAUAAUAACAAAAGGGCAGAGAGCAGCGGUUGGCUACGGGGUUACGGUGGUUUCUGAUUGGGAACGUUCUGAAGCUUUGAGAAAAGGGAAGGAAAAAUCUUGAGGAUUUGUGGCACGUGUUCGGCAUUCAAGAUUCGAUUCCGAGUACGAGCACAUCUCGUGGAGCUUUGUGAGUCCGAGCUUGGAGUAUCUUGGAGUUGUGGUGAGCUGCUUGACUGUUCCGUGGCCCACACCUCCUUCUACCUUUUAUUUAUUCUGUUAUUUUAGUAUUCAAACAGAAUAUCCCUUAUGUUUGGAUUUGUCAUUUAGUUUCAGACUUGCAUCAUAUUUAGAGGCUCUUGUACUUAUGACACAAAUUUCUUGGGUAGUAUUUUA
Molecule: long non-coding RNA, 375 nt
Organism: Solanum stenotomum
Lineage: Eukaryota; Viridiplantae; Streptophyta; Magnoliopsida; Solanales; Solanaceae
Exons: 3
Source: RefSeq, a predicted model, not a curated record